UUGAAUUUCAUUAAAUAAAAUUUGGAGUUAGAAGUAAUAAAUUAGAUUUAUAUCAUGGCAAAUAUCAAGGAAUUACCAGAAUUACAAGUUUUUAAAACAGUAUUAUUCCACUGUGUAGUGAUAAUAGCCUUACCUGUAUUGUCAUUUUUUACUAGCAAGAUUUUUAUUUUUGAUGGUUUAUUGGGGCUUAAUCAUGUGCCAAGUAACGUAUAUUCAGCUGCUGUUGCGAUUCUCGUAUUACACGUGGCUCUAGGAUCUUUUAUAUAUCGUGCAUAUUUUGAUGAUCAAUCAAAGACACAAACAAAACGAGAUUAAUCAUUUUUUCUUGUUUGAAAUAUUGAUCAUAUAACAGAUAAUUGAUGAUGCUGACACGAUGAAAGAAACAAAUUUAUGCCAUUUUUACACACGAAAAGCUAUUCACUUAACAUAUGGGUCCAAGUAAUGAUAGUGUGUCGCGUACCGAGCUGAGCCAAGAGAGAAUCCUGGAGGAGUAGGAAGGGGCAGAACCCCUCGCACCUCUUCCACCAUCAUCAGCAUCUGAGUUCCGUCGCGUUUUAUCC
Molecule: RNA transcript, 560 nt
Organism: Apis laboriosa (Himalayan honeybee)
Lineage: Eukaryota; Metazoa; Arthropoda; Insecta; Hymenoptera; Apidae
Gene name: vacuolar ATPase assembly integral membrane protein VMA21 homolog
Exons: 5
Source: RefSeq, a predicted model, not a curated record